CACGCCAGUGCGAGAUGCUGACGUGGAAGGAAAUUGCGGGCUCAAGGACGCGAUUUCCUUCCAUAUCAGCAUCUCGCGCUGACAUGG
Molecule: non-coding RNA, 87 nt
Organism: Gossypium raimondii (Peruvian cotton)
Lineage: Eukaryota; Viridiplantae; Streptophyta; Magnoliopsida; Malvales; Malvaceae
Source: Rfam